This 250-nucleotide long non-coding RNA is filed under the name Elaeis guineensis (African oil palm). RNAcentral describes it as "long non-coding RNA (EGUI_LNC003079)". Lineage: Eukaryota; Viridiplantae; Streptophyta; Magnoliopsida; Arecales; Arecaceae. The record is from RNAcentral.
GAGAGACUUUCCACUGGAUCUGCAACUUUAGCAGGGAACUCUUGAACUAUAUCUAAUAGAUUUCAUUUUAAAUUAUUCAACUAUAUGAUGAACACUUUCAAGUGGCUGAGGUGACUCUCUUUGCCAGGCCGGCAUGAGCAUGAACUAUGGUGCCAAAAGUUUCCUAAAUCAAAAGGUGAGGCCCCAUUCUCUCAAAGAAUGAUGGUUUACACUAGUGAUCAGUCCUGUGCAACAGGUGGUGUGUCACCAU